Molecule: small RNA, 458 nt
Filed under: Pan troglodytes (chimpanzee)
Lineage: Eukaryota; Metazoa; Chordata; Mammalia; Primates; Hominidae
Description: retained intron
Source: RNAcentral
CAAGGAGGCUGGGGCCGUGGCAGCUGUCAUCUUGGUGCACUGUGGCCAGCUGAGUGAUAAUGAGGAAUGGAGCCUGCAGGCGGUGGAGAAGCAUGUGAGUGGGAGUGGGGCCAUGUGCAAUGAGGCUGAAGACCCUUAUCACAGCUGGUGGGAAGAUGGCCUGGCCAGGGAGCUGGACAGACCUGGGUUUCAGCUUCGGCUUUGCUGCUUUUGAGCUGUGUGACCUUGAGCAAGUCACUAAACCUCUCUGGGCCUCAGUUUCACACCUGAAAAUGGGGAUAAUGAUAGCACCGACUGACCUAGGGCAGUGGUGAAACAAAACUGGUCAAAUAUCUUGUAAAUACACACGGUUGCCAACUUACAAUUUUCGACUUUUUGAUGGAUUUAUGGGGAAGCAACCCUAUCCUAAGUCCAGGAGCAUCUGUACUUAGAAAGAACCCUCCACAUAAUGAUACUGA